UGUUUAUUUUCUUUCAUUCUUUUCUCUUUUAUGAAGUCUAACAAGAUGGCUUUCCAUUUCAACUGUCUGAGGGUAUACAUUUAAAUAUAUCUUUGGUGAACAAUAACCCUAUUUGGCUCAGUUCAAACAGGAAACAGUAUAAUGGCAUGUGGUCUGAAGCCCCUAACCCAUUCUCAGUCUUUGUGAUUUUGCAGUAAAAUAAAAUAAUAAUAAUUAAAAAAAAAAUAAAAAAUCGAAUCUAAAAAAUCGAAUCAAAUCUAGGGACCAGAAUAUCUUGGAGAUGUGGGUCUCUUAAUAAUAGUAAUAAUAAAAUUUAUUUUUCUUCUUCUUAUUAUUAUUAUUAAUAAGAAGGAUUCUAGAUAUUUCUAGAAGUUUCUAGAAAUGUUUGUAGCAUUAAUGUUAAAUGGUCAGUACAGUUUCUUCUCUGUUUCUCUAGAGAUGCAGUGUAGUAUUAAUAUAAGCACCUAAAUCAAACUUAAAAGGUAAUAAUCCAUUAUUUAAUUAUGUAUUUACUAAUGGCAAAAUUUUGUAUAUUUUAACAUAUAAUCUGGUUCUUUUAUGAAGCUGUAAUUAUUUCUAAAGUGUUACAAUCAAACUACAAUAACGAGCUGAGGAGUUUAAAUGCACACUGAAUGCAGAGCACACUUACGCCACUAGAUGGAGACCCUAACUUUAGAGAGAAAACAUCGAAACAUUUUAUAAUGUAAAAUUACAUUUCAAUAUAACCAACUUCGACCUUUUUAACAAUACGUCAUCAUUUCUCUGUAUUUCUGCACCCAUAUACAACCAAUAAAUGGAUUAAAGCAAGUUAUAACUAGAGCUUUCUGUCCACAACAUCCACAUGCAGUACUUUAAUUCAGCCACUAGAUGGACAAACACUCUCACAGAAUGAGGAUCUCAUGCGUAGCACUAAAAACCAAAGCCUAUAAUAUGGCUUAUAAGGCCGCAGAAAUGAAGAGAGCUGUUGUUUCAAUAGCAGGAAGUGGAGCCCUCAGUGAGUACAAACACAACUAUGAGUGGCCAAUAAAUUGGAAGUCUCACACAUUCACAGAAAACACCUUAUUUCCGCGUUGAAAAAUAAGAGGGCAGCAAAGUCCAGAACAGCACUGUUGACACACGACCCUACUACUCUCUACCGAUUUCCACAAACAGACAGAUGGGCAAAAUGGAUUUAUAUUUUUUUUGUGUGUGUGUGCUUUCAUGUGUAUACAUGUGUGAAUUGUAUAUGUAUAUGUCAGAGAUCAUAAAUGUGUUUUUUUUUUAAUAUCCUGCCUUGUCAGAUUCACUUUUACUCUCUCGGGUCACUCUGUUGAGUCUCUCUCUUCGCUUUAACAUGAAAGGAUAAAGUGUGAUACACACACACAAAUAUAUGUGCGCAGGUUGGAGUCCAUUAAAGUCAGCGCCCUCUCUAGUAGAAGUCCAGUGUGACAGCAAGGUCGCAGAAGGUCAAAUCUCCUCAAUGCAGUUCAUCUUGUCACAGAAACAAACUUCUGCCUCUGACCCCCCCGACAGCUUUGGCCUCUGACCUCAUGUUCUUAGGACUCUCUCUCUCCCCUUUAGAUCCUUUUUUUUUUCUUUCAUUAUGAGUGAGCACACAAAGCCGUUCUCUAAUCAUUGUCCAACAGACAGGACAGGAGGUAGAAUGAUAUUAUUAUCUACUUAAAAGGGCUUUAUUCAGCUAUCAUAUGACCAAAAAACAUUGAGUUAAAGUGUGGACUGCAUAGUUGCCUGCAUUACUAUGCAAAAAUUUUAACAGUUUCAAAUUUUUGUAAAUUUUUCGAACAAUUUUCUAAUAAAUUAUAAAUUAUUUACAAAAAAAGGAUUUUACUUGACUAAAAUUGUCAUUUUAAUCUGUUAAAUGGACUAAAAAUAAUGCAUAUAAAAUGCAAAAAACUUAGACAUUUAUUCAGCUUAAAGGUGGAAUAGGUGAUUCUCUACAGAAACGUUUUUGUUAUACUGGUUGAAAGUCAUAUCCUGAUAG
Molecule: long non-coding RNA, 1981 nt
Organism: Megalobrama amblycephala (Wuchang bream)
Lineage: Eukaryota; Metazoa; Chordata; Actinopteri; Cypriniformes; Xenocyprididae
Exons: 4
Source: RefSeq, a predicted model, not a curated record